This 305-nucleotide ribosomal RNA is filed under the name uncultured bacterium. Its description in RNAcentral is "bacterial SSU rRNA". It matches the Rfam family "Bacterial small subunit ribosomal RNA", at positions 335 to 637 of the family's 1533-position model. The record is from RNAcentral.
CUUCCUACGGGGGGCAGCAGUGAGGAAUAUUGGUCAAUGGGCGGAAGCCUGAACCAGCCAAGUCGCGUGAGGGAAUAAGGCCCUACGGGUCGUAAACCUCUUUUGCCGGGGAGCAAGGGCGGGGACGUGUCCCGGCCCGGAGAGUACCCGGAGAAAAAGCAUCGGCUAACUCCGUGCCAGCAGCCGCGGUAAUACGGAGGAUGCGAGCGUUAUCCGGAUUUAUUGGGUUUAAAGGGCGCGUAGGCGGACGCUUAAGUCAGCGGUAAAAUUGCGGGGCUCAACCUCGUCGAGCCGUUGAAACUGGG